RNAcentral lists this ribosomal RNA (405 nucleotides) under uncultured bacterium. RNAcentral describes it as "bacterial SSU rRNA". It matches the Rfam family "Bacterial small subunit ribosomal RNA", at positions 976 to 1381 of the family's 1533-position model. The record is from RNAcentral.
UAGCCUUGACAUACUACAGAAUUUGACAGAGAUGUUGAAGUGCCUUCGGGAGCUGUAAUACAGGUGCUGCACGGCUGUCGUCAGCUCGUGUCGUGAGAUGUUGGGUUAAGUCCCGCAACGAGCGCAACCCUCGUCCUUAGUUACUAACGGUUCGGCCGAGGACUCUAAGGAGACUGCCUUCGUAAGGAGGAGGAAGGUGAGGACGACGUCAAGUCAUCAUGGCCCUUACGGCUAGGGCAACACACGUGCUACAAUGGUUAGGACAAUAAGAAGCGAUACCGCGAGGUGGAGCAAAUCUAUAAACCUAAUCUCAGUUCGGAUAGCAGUCUGCAACUCGACUGCUUGAAGCUGGAAUCACUAGUAAUCGUAAAUCAGCUAUGUUACGGUGAAUACGUUCCCGGGUCU